UUGCAAGUAGUGCGAUUAUCCAUCAUAACACUUCCACUUUCACAAGAUUUAUAGAAAUCAAAUAAAGAUUUAUUUGGUGUUAUAUGAUAAGAACAAUCCGAAUCUAAUAUCCAGUCAGCAAGAGAUUCAAUACCUGAAGAAACCGUCAAAACAUCAUGAUUUUGAUCGGGAUCAUUAGCUACGCUUACUGUACUUGAAGAGGAAUUCUUCUUUGCAGCCAUGCCUUUGAAUACCUUUGAAUACUCCUCUUUUAUGCAGCUCCAACAUCCCUUUCUCACUCAUGUGGGCUAAUCUCAUGUGCCAAAGUUCUGCAUCAUCGGCAUCAUGAUCAUCUGAGGAUGUCACUGCAACACCUCCAAUCACCGACUCGCCGAUCAACCUGUAUAGGUUU
This 391-nucleotide long non-coding RNA is filed under the name Ananas comosus (pineapple). RNAcentral's name for it is "long non-coding RNA (ACOM_LNC041439)". Lineage: Eukaryota; Viridiplantae; Streptophyta; Magnoliopsida; Poales; Bromeliaceae. The record is from RNAcentral.